GAGCAGAUACACACAUCUGUUGUCAUGGUUACCACCCUGCUGCAGCCCACUGUUGUCAUGGUAGCAUUACUACCCUGCUGCAGCCCACUGUUGUCAUGGUAGCAUUACCACCCUGCUGCAGCCCACUGCUGGAUUGCCUCUGAAGCUAAGCAGGGUUGGUCCUGGUCGGUCCCUAGAUAGGAGACCAGAUGCUGCUGGAAGUGGUGUGGGAGGGCCCCAAUGCCCCAGGGCAGUGAUUGGGGACAUUGCCCUGUGUAGGGUGCUGUCUUUCGGAUGGGACGUUAAACUGGUGUCCUGACUCUCUGUGGUCACUAAAGAUCCCAUGGCACUUAUUGUUAGAGUAGGGGUGUUAACCCUGGUGUCCUGGCUAAAUUCCCAAUCUGGCCCUCAUACCGUCACCUAAUCAUCCCAAGCUUACUAUUGGCUCAUUCAUCGCCACUAUUCCCCAGAUCAUUGCUGUAAAUGGGAAUGUGUUUUUCAGUCAACUUAAUUGGUAGUUUGGGUUCAAUCAAAUAAAUAGAGGUGAAUCCUGGUCCCUGUACAUUGAUUCCAUGUCCAGUAGCUUUUGUCUAUUGACUUUAUUACUUAGGGGCGGCAGGUUCAGUGUGUGUUUUGAUAUUUUAACCUGCGUGUCGUGAUCGCGUUUGGUGUAGGGGGACAAAAUAAAGUGGGUAGAGCGUUGGACUUGUAACUGAAAGGUUGCAAGAUCGAAUCCCAGCUCUAAUAAGGUAAAAAUCUGUCAUUCUGCCCCUGAAAAAGGCAGUUAACCCACUGUUCCUAGGCCGUCAUUGAAAACAAUAAUUUGUUCUUAACUGACUUGCCUUGUUAAAUAAAGGUUAAAUAAAUAAAAAAUAAUACGAUUACUGAAACUUUGCAAGGUUGCAAAAGAGGUUUCUUACCUUUAAAAAUGUUUUUUUUUUUUUUAAACCUUUAUUUAACUAGGCAAGUCAGUUAAGAACAAAUUAUUGUUUUAAAUGAUGGGUUUAGGUUGGAUCCUCUCAAGGUUCUCUGUUAUGUAGGUCUACUGGUGUGUGUUAAUGUUAUGAUGGGUUUAGGUUGAAUCCUCUCAAGGUUCUCUGUACUGUAGGUCUACUGCUGUGUGUUAAUGUAAUGAUGGGUUUAGGUUGGAUCCUCUCAAGGUUCUCUGUUAUGUAGGUCUACUGGUGUGUGUUAAUGUAAUGAUGGGUUUAGUGUGAAUCCUCUCAAGGUUCUCUGUUAUGUAGGUCUACUGCUGUGUGUUAAUGUAAUGAUGGGUUUAGGUUGGAUCCUCUCAAGGUUCUCUGUUAUGUAGGUCUACUGCUGUGUGUUAAUGUAAUGAUGGGUUUAGGUUGAAUCCUCUCAAGGUUCUCUGUUAUGUAGGUCUACUGGUGUGUGUUAAUGUAAUGAUGGGUUUAGGUUGGAUCCUCUCAAGGUUCUCUGUUAUGUAGGUCUACUGGUGUGUGUUAAUGUAAUGAUGGGUUUAGUGUGAAUCCUCUAACUGCGCUCCUGUACUGUAGGUCUACUGCUGUGUGUUAAUGUAAUGAUGGGUUUAGUGUGAAUCCUCUAACUGCGCUCCUGUACUGUAGGUCUACUGCUGUGUGUUAAUGUAAUGAUGGGUUUAGUGUGAAUCCUCUAACUGCGCUCCUGUACUGUAGGUCUACUGGUGUGUGUUAAUGUAAUGAUGGGUUUAGUGUGAAUCCUCUAACUGCGCUCCUGUACUGUAGGUCUACUGCUGUGUGUUAAUGUAAUGAUGGGUUUAGUGUGAAUCCUCUAACUGCGCUCCUGUACUGUAGGUCUACUGCUGUGUGUUAAUGUAAUGAUGGGUUUAGUGUGAAUCCUCUAACUGCGCUCCUGUACUGUAGGUCUACUGCUGUGUUUUAAUGUAAUGAUGGGUUUAGUGUGAAUCCUCUAACUGCGCUCCUGUACUGUAGGUCUACUGCUGUGUGUUAAUGUAAUGAUGGGUUUAGUGUGAAUCCUCUAACUGCGCUCCUGUACUGUAGGUCUACUGCUGUGUGUUAAUGUAAUGAUGGGUUUAGUGUGAAUCCUCUAACUGCGCUCCUGUACUGUAGGUCUACUGCUGUGUGUUAAUGUAAUGAUGGGUUUAGUGUGAAUCCUCUAACUGCGCUCCUGUACUGUAGGUCUACUGCUGUGUGUUAAUGUAAUGAUGGGUUUAGUGUGAAUCCUCUCAUGGUUCUCUGUACUGUAGGUCUACUGCUGUGUUUUAAUGUAAUGAUGGGUUUAGUGUGAAUCCUCUAACUGCGCUCCUGUACUGUAGGUCUACUGCUGUGUUUUAAUGUAAUGAUGGGUUUAGUGUGAAUCCUCUAACUGCGCUCCUGUACUGUUG
Molecule: long non-coding RNA, 2323 nt
Organism: Oncorhynchus keta (chum salmon)
Lineage: Eukaryota; Metazoa; Chordata; Actinopteri; Salmoniformes; Salmonidae
Exons: 3
Source: RefSeq, a predicted model, not a curated record